RNAcentral lists this ribosomal RNA (253 nucleotides) under uncultured bacterium. Its description in RNAcentral is "partial 16S ribosomal RNA". It matches the Rfam family "Bacterial small subunit ribosomal RNA", at positions 524 to 776 of the family's 1533-position model. The record is from RNAcentral.
UACGUCGGGUGCGAGCGUUAAUCGGAAUUACUGGGCGUAAAGCGUGCGCAGGCGGUUGUGCAAGACAGAUGUGAAAUCCCCGGGCUCAACCUGGGAGCUGCAUUUGUGACUGCACGGCUGGAGUGCGGCAGAGGGGGAUGGAAUUCCGCGUGUAGCAGUGAAAUGCGUAGAUAUGCGGAGGAACACCGAUGGCGAAGGCAAUCCCCUGGGCCUGCACUGACGCUCAUGCACGAAGGCGUGGGGAGCAAACAGG